This is a long non-coding RNA of Carassius auratus (goldfish), 510 nucleotides long. RefSeq lists it as uncharacterized. The record is from RefSeq and is a predicted model, not a curated record. Lineage: Eukaryota; Metazoa; Chordata; Actinopteri; Cypriniformes; Cyprinidae. The transcript is spliced from 3 exons.
CCUCCUUCGUUUUCCACUGAAGUGCGUGAAUUUCAUACCAAACCCAUACUUCGCAUUCCACCUUUACUGUCAAACCGGGAGAAAUAUUACUGAAAACAAUACAGCACCAAGAUAAAUAUAACGUUAAAGAAAUAAACCUCGUCCAGUUCUAUCGGUAGAGGUGUUUGCCAAUAAAGGGAAUUGUCAGAGAGAAGCGACAGAAGUGUUUGGAGAGAUCUCUCACCCCGUUUUCUACGUUAUCAGAGACUGUGAGGAAUCCAGUGAACCCGGAGAAUCGUGGCUGGAGCCAACUCAGUGCUUCAGCUGACAACAAUACGUACUGUGUUGGAGCUCUGGGAGAUAGUGGGCAGGGAGGGCUUGUGUUCAUUCAAUGGAGACUGAAUGAAUGUGUGUGCAGCAUGGCUUUCACUGCAUUAUUUACAUUCCUGCACCACAUGGAAAUUCUUCGGCAUUAUAUACUGACUAAGAGCUCUGUUUGGUUCGGCAGGGAGAGAGAGAGGAGGCGGGAAA